UCUGGUAAAACAUUAGAAUUUGCUAGCUGAAAUGCUCUUGCUGCGUUCAGGGCUACUUGAAAAAUAUUAGUGCUGAUAUUAGGGCAGUUUUGUGCAAAGAAAUGCACAGGCUUUGUAAUGCUUGGUCCCAGCCUUUGGGACGUGUGGAAUUCAAUGGGGUAGGCGAUGUCUGUGAAUAUGGAUGCCUGCAUUGCCGUAGAGAGCAUAUCAAUUCUUGAGAAGCUCCAUUCUAAAGGUGAGGAUGGAAGUUUCAAUUGUGGGUAUUCAAGCAUUAGAGGUAGAAGAAGACCAGAUAGGGAAGACUUCUAUGACAUCAAAUCAAAUCAUCAACAUUUUAUGAUAAACAAAUAAACUUGUUUACGUUUGAAAUUUACCCGUUUGAAAUUGUUUACAUUUUAAAUUGGAAAUAUUUUUUUGAUGGGAAAAAGGUCUUCACCGCCGGUUCGUGUCUUCAACCGACGGUGUUGAUGUCUCCAUCA
Panicum virgatum (switchgrass) is the source of this 479-nucleotide long non-coding RNA. RefSeq lists it as uncharacterized. NCBI's taxonomy places the organism in Eukaryota, Viridiplantae, Streptophyta, Magnoliopsida, Poales, Poaceae. The transcript has 3 exons. The record is from RefSeq and is a predicted model, not a curated record.